GAUGAACGCUGGCGGCGUGCUUAACACAUGCAAGUCGAACGGGAAACCUUUUAUUGAAGCUUCGGCAGAUUUCGCUGGUUUCUAGUGGCGGACGGGUGAGUAACGCGUGGGUAACCUGCCUUAUACAGGGGGAUAACAACCAGAAAUGGUUGCUAAUACCGCAUAAGCGCACAGGACCGCAUGGUCCGGUGUGAAAAACUCCGGUGGUAUAAGAUGGACCCGCGUUGGAUUAGCUAGUUGGCAGGGUAACGGCCUACCAAGGCGACGAUCCAUAGCCGGCCUGAGAGGGUGAACGGCCACAUUGGGACUGAGACACGGCCCAGACUCCUACGGGAGGCAGCAGUGGUGAAUAUUGCACAAUGGGGGAAACCCUGAUGCAGCGACGCCGCGUGAAGGAAGAAGUAUCCCGGUAUGUAAACUUCUAUCAGCAGGGAAGAUAGUGACGGUACCUGACUAAGAAGCCCCGGCUAACUACGUG
RNAcentral lists this ribosomal RNA (478 nucleotides) under uncultured bacterium. RNAcentral describes it as "partial 16S ribosomal RNA". It matches the Rfam family "Bacterial small subunit ribosomal RNA", at positions 28 to 507 of the family's 1533-position model. The record is from RNAcentral.